ACUACAAACCUAGCCCAAAAACCCAACAACCCCGCCCCAUGAAACUACACCCGAACACCCAAGACUUAAAACAUUAGACCCGUCCUAGUAUAGGAGAUAGAAGAGACAUACUGGAGCUAUAGAGAACAGUACCGCAAGGGAAAAUUGAAAAAUAUGAAACACCAUAACAGUAAACAAAGCAAAGAUAAAACCUUGUACCUUUUGCAUAAUGAUUUAACUAGCACACACCAAGCAAAGAGAACUAAAGUAUGAAACCCCGAAACCAAGUGAGCUACUUACGGGCAACCUAUUACAAAACACAAAGGUUAUUAACCGUCUCUGUGGCAAAAGAGUGGAAAGACCUGUAAGUAGAGGUGAAAAGCCUACCGAACCUGGUGAUAGCUGGUUGCUCAGAAAAAGAAUAAAAGUUCUACCUUAAAUAUCCUAAAAACAAUGUAAAGCCCACUAGUGAAAUUUAAGAGACAUUCAGUUGGGGUACAGCCCUACUGAAAAAGGACACAACCUUGUAAUGGAGGUUAUAAACCACAAAUCGCAUCCGUAGGCCUUAAAGCAGCCAUCACAAAAAUAAAGCGUUAAAGCUAGACUAAAACAAAUAGCACAAUAAAAGUUUUUACCCCAAUUAUACUGAGCUAUUCUACCCACAUAGAAGAAUUAAUGUUAAAAUGAGUAACAAGAAAUUAAACUUCUCUAAAGCAACAGCUUAAAUCAGCUCAGACAUACUACUGAUUAUUAACAGUCACGUAUAAAAUAAAUAUUAAUAAACAAAUCAUAUAGACUAGACUGUUAACCCAACACAGGAUUGCACAUUAGAAAGAUCAAAACCUGUAAAAGGAACUAGGCAAGCAGAGAGCCCGACUGUUUACCAAAAACAUAGCCCCUAGCAUAAGCAAGUAUUAGGGGUGAUGCCUGCCCAGUGACAUUGUUCAACGGCCGCGGUAUUCUGACCGUGCGAAGGUAGCGUAAUCACUUGUCUUUUAAAUAGAGACUGGAAUGAAUGACUAAACGAGGCUCUAUCUGUCUCCUACAGGCGAUCAGUGAAAUUGAUCUCCUCGUGCAAAAGCGAGAAUGGUAACAUAAGACGAGAAGACCCUGUGGAACUUUAAAUAACAGCUAAUAGCCAUAAACCCACUAAACCGAUAGGACCACUACUAUGGCCACUCUUAGCUCUAUUUUCGGUUGGGGUGACCUCGGAGNAAAACGCAACCUCCGAAGACCUAUACUAAGAACAACAAACCAAAGUGCCUCCGGCUAAACGAUCCAAUAUAUUUGAUUAAUGAACCAAGCUACCCCAGGGAUAACAGCGCAAUCCCCUCUUAGAGUCCAUAUCAACGAUGGGGGUUUACGACCUCGAUGUUGGAUCAGGACAUCCUAAUGGUGCAGCCGCUAUUAAGGGUUCGUUUGUUCAACGAUUAAUAGUCCUACGUGAUCUGAGUUCAGACCGGAGCAAUCCAGGUCGGUUUCUAUCUAUGACUGUAAAUUUUUUAGUACGAAAGGAUCAAAAAAGUGCAGCCCAUGUACUAAAACACGCUGUAUUUCAAAUUAGUGAACGAUAACUAAACUAAAUAAAAAACAACCACACCACAAUGCCCGAAACAAGGGCA
RNAcentral lists this ribosomal RNA (1601 nucleotides) under Phrynops hilarii (snake-necked turtle). RNAcentral describes it as "16S ribosomal RNA". It matches the Rfam family "Bacterial large subunit ribosomal RNA", at positions 424 to 2925 of the family's 2925-position model. The record is from RNAcentral. Lineage: Eukaryota; Metazoa; Chordata; Testudines; Chelidae.